This 1544-nucleotide long non-coding RNA is filed under the name Coturnix japonica (Japanese quail). RNAcentral's name for it is "lncRNA (ENSCJPG00005006663.1)". Lineage: Eukaryota; Metazoa; Chordata; Aves; Galliformes; Phasianidae. The record is from RNAcentral.
GUCCCAAUAUCACACAUGACUCCAAUAUCACACGUGUGUACCCAAUGUCACAUACGUGUCCCAAUGUCAUACGUGUAUCAAUGUCAUACGUGUAUCAAUGUCAUAUGUGUAACAAUGUCAUAUGUGUAACAAUGUCAUACGUGUAUCAAUGUCAUANUCAUACGUGUAUCAAUGUCAUACGUGUAUCAAUGUCAUAUGUGUAACAAUGUCAUAUGUGUAACAAUGUCAUACGUGUAUCAAUGUCAUACGUGUCCCAAUGUCAUACGUGUAACAAUGUCAUACGUGUCCCAAUGUCAUACGCAUAACAAUGUCAUACGUGUAACAAUGUCAUACAUAUAAUGAUGUCAUACGUGUAACAAUAUCAUACGAGUCCCCAUGUCAUACAUGUCCCCAAUAUCACACGCAUGUACCCAAUGUCACAUACGUGUCCCGAUGUCAUUCAUGACCCCAAUGUCACAAUGCCAUACAUGUCACAAGCGUGUCCACUGUGUCACACGCGUGUCCUUGUCAUGUCACACGUGUCCUGGUGGUCACAUUUGCGUGUCCAUUGUCACACGUGUGACCCCCAUUCACACACGUGUCCCUGUUGGUGUCACACGCGUGUCCUUCUCAUGUUAGAUGCAUGUCCAUAGCGUCAUACGUGUCCUUGUCAUGUCACACACAUGUCUAUAGUGUCUUAUGUGUGUCCUUAUCAUGUCACACGCGUGUCCUUGCCGUGCCACACACAUGUCCAUUGUAUCACACACAUGUCCAUUGUAUGACACGCGUGUUGUUGCCGUGUCACACGCGUGUCCUUGCCGUGUCACAUGUGUGUCCAUUGUCACACGCGUGUCCUUGUCAUGUCACAUGCGUGUCCUUCUCAUGUUAGUCAAAUGUCCAUAGUGUCAUAUGUGUGUCAUCAUCAUGUCACAAGUGUGUCCUUGCCAUGUCACACGCGUGUCCAUUGUGUCAUACGUGUCCUUGUCAUGUCACACACGUGUCCUUCUCAUGUUAGACGCAUGUCCAUAGUGUCACACGUGUGUCCUUGUCAUCUUACACACAUGCCCACUGUGUCAUACGUGUCCUUGUCAUGUCACACGUGUGUCCUUGUCAUGUCACACGCAUGUCCAUUGUAUCACACACAUGUCCAUUGUGUCACACGCGUGUCCUUGUCAUGUCACACGCGUGUCUUUCUCAUGUUAGACGCAUGUCCAUUGACAUCACACACGUGUUGUUGCCAUGUCACACGCGUGUCGUUGCCGUGUUACACGCGUGUUGUUGCCGUGUUACACGCGUAUGCUCCCCCCGUGUUCCAUGUUGGUGUUUCCCGUGUCUCCCAUUGGCGGCUCCACGUCCCCGUCGUCAGACACAGGAUCCUCUGGGGGCACAAAGGGGGGAAAUCAAUGGGGCUGCCCCAUAGCGGAGCCCUAUAGGGAUCCCUGCCCCAUAGCGUAGCCCUACAGGGAUCCCUGACCCAUAGCAGAGCCCUAUAGGGAUCCCUGCCCCAUAGCGGAGCCCUAUAGGGAUCCCUGCCCCAUAGCGGAGCCCUAUAGGGAUCCCUGCCC